GGACUGAAAAAAGAGAAGAUUGGAACAUCACCGAGAUCUACAAACAAACCAAAUGAGGACCAAAUGAGGUCAAAGCCUCAUUGUUCUAAGCUAAAUAUACAACUGAAACGUAUGCUUUUGCCAACUAGAACAAGAAUAAUUGUUCCCAGAUCUUGCUUCUUUAAAUAAGAAAAGGAAAGGAAAAACCAAGACAAGACUCCAAGAUAACUGGUAAACCUCAUGAAGGUAUCAUAAGGAACAAUUAGUUCAUUGGCUCUGAAAACGUAGUGUUACACAUAAAUGCAAUAUGAAAUUAUCACGACUUUUCAGUGUAAUGCCCAAUGACAAUUCAAGUAGGAGCUAGGCAACAAAACAUUCUCUCUUCCACUUGAGCAUAUAAAAAGUCGCAAUAUUCUGGACUUACAGUGAAAUAUCCCACAAGUGACAGCAAGCCCAUAAUACUGCUCUCAGAGACUAUAGCUAAAUCAGGAAAUGCUGCUGCAUAAUAACUUUGAAUCAUAAAACAGUGUAUUGAGCAACUUAAAAAGCAAUUUGUACUUCAAAAUUUAAUAUUUUAUUCCCUGCAGCCACACUUUUAUUUCAAUUUUCCAUCACUUAUAUGUAGAGUCCCAUAACUAAUAUUCAUUAGUAAGAAAUACACAUUUCAGUUUGCCAAGUUUUUGAAUUAUUAAUAAUGAUAUAGCUAUUACAUCAGCCUUAGUAAACAUAAGAAUGCCAUUCCACCCAAGAGUGCCUCUGCUUGUGUAAAUAGAUCUGAAUUCAGUCUGCCAUAAGUAGGAAUGCUUUACAUUUUGCAAUUUCCAGAGCAUUUACUAAUCAAGGUACAGAAGAAGAAGAAGAGUUUGGAGAAGGGUAGGGAGAUAAGCAGAAAAAGCAACUAAGAGGCAGGUAUCAAAUAAAGCAGCCCUCACCCUGCCAUAUUUCAUAGCAUUGCACACUAUCCCCAACCCCUGCCUCGGUCAUGAACUAAGCAGCCAGAACUCCCAGUGACUUUGUGAAGACUGACAUUUACUUAUUUCAGUAAUUUGAUUCCCCAUCCCCCUAAAUACCAAAGUGGUGUAAAUUACAAUAGAUUUAGACACCUAUUGAAUGCCAAAUCAACACAAGCAAUCCAUGUUUCCAUUAUACUCCCAUUUUCUAAUCAAUAUAUACCAAAUGUGUAAUUCAUUAUAACAGCUGCAUCUCCACAAAAUUAGGUUGACAGCCUCCUUCAUCCAAUAUAAACAUUUAUAAUAAGUCAAGCCCUGCAUGGGUACAAAGUUGAUAUCCGCAUGUGCAAAAAUGUUCUGGAGGUACUAAAUGAUUACUAGAGUCCUGCAAAUCUGUGGAAGUCUGCUUUAUAUCCGUGGAUAUCCACACCCACAGAUGUGAAUGUAGGUACUUAUAGAUAUAAAGAAGACAUCCAUGGAUUUGCAAGGCUCUAGUAAAAAGCCAUCACUGAAACAGUGCUGAAAAGCUUAACCUAGAAGAAGCUGUAAUAAACAACAGUACGCUGAUAUGAAGAAAUGGGAAGCAGGCUAGUACUCACUGUAUUUCACCAUGAAAACACAUUUUCACAUGACAGUGAUCAGAGGGGACUUUGCUGACUAACUUCACUGGUGAAGGCGGAGCAUUCGGUUUAUGAUUGUUCUGACACAGAGCAGUUAUCUGGCUGCGCCAAAAGGACAGGAGACAGUUGAUAUGGAUUUUAAUCAAGCUGCAAAUGUGAUAUAUGUGUCUAGGGCUGCUCAGCAGAUGAAGUGUACAGUGUAUGCAAAUCCUCGUUUAUUCAAAUCACCUGGCUUCCACCAGGCCCCCUUUAUUUUCCAUCUAGGUCCCCCAGCCCAGUGUUUCUCAACCUUUAAUUUUUUUAUAAAGUAUCCCUUUUUCAAAAAAA
Pelodiscus sinensis (Chinese soft-shelled turtle) is the source of this 1876-nucleotide non-coding RNA. The record is from RefSeq and is a predicted model, not a curated record. Lineage: Eukaryota; Metazoa; Chordata; Testudines; Trionychidae.